RNAcentral lists this ribosomal RNA (835 nucleotides) under uncultured marine microorganism. RNAcentral's name for it is "bacterial SSU rRNA". It matches the Rfam family "Bacterial small subunit ribosomal RNA", at positions 669 to 1501 of the family's 1533-position model. The record is from RNAcentral.
CCCAGUGUAGCGGUGAAAUGCGUAGAUAUUGGGAAGAACAUCGGUGGCGAAGGCGUGCUACUGGACCGUAACUGACACUCAGGGACGAAAGCUAGGGGAGCGAAAGGGAUUAGAUACCCCUGUAGUCCUAGCUGUAAACGAUGGAAACUAGGUGUGGCUUGUAUCGACCCGAGCCGUGCCGUAGCUAACGCGUUAAGUUUCCCGCCUGGGGAGUACGCACGCAAGUGUGAAACUCAAAGGAAUUGACGGGGGCCCGCACAAGCGGUGGAGUAUGUGGUUUAAUUCGAUGCAACGCGAAGAACCUUACCAGGGCUUGACAUGUCGCGAAUCUCGGUGAAAGCUGAGAGUGCCUUCGGGAGCGCGAACACAGGUGGUGCAUGGCUGUCGUCAGCUCGUGUCGUGAGAUGUUGGGUUAAGUCCCGCAACGAGCGCAACCCUUAUUUUUAGUUGCCAGCAUUAAGAUGGGCACUCUAGAAAGACUGCCGGUGACAAACCGGAGGAAGGUGAGGACGACGUCAAGUCAGCAUGCCCCUUACGCCCUGGGCUACACACGUACUACAAUGGUUGGGACAAAGGGCAGCGACUCCGCAAGGAAUAGCGAAUCUCAUCAAACCCAGCCUCAGUUCAGAUUGCAGGCUGCAACUCGCCUGCAUGAAGGAGGAAUCGCUAGUAAUCGCAGGUCAGCAUACUGCGGUGAAUUCGUUCCCGGGCCUUGUACACACCGCCCGUCGCACCAUGGAAGCUGGUCACGCCCGAAGUAGUUACCCUAACCUUUCGAGGAGGGGGAUUCCUAAGGCAGGGCUAGUGACUGGGGUGAAGUCGUAACAAGGUAGCC